GAUCCUGUUAUGGGUGUAUAAAUUGAAACAAUUUUCUACACAUGUUGAUCCUCAUAUAUCUCUAAUCUCCUUCGAUAGUUAGCUUGCAUGGAAACAGGCAAGAAUAUUCAGAUACUGUCCUUAACAUUUCUGGUGGUGAUCUUUCUAUUGUUUCCUCGGAGUAGUCAUAGCCAGCCAGGGGUACUUCCUCCGGCCGGCCCGCUUUGUUCCUCCCAGUAUGUCCUCCUCAACUACGCCUGCUCCAGGCUCCCAUUUUCGCCGAGACCACCGUCCCUCAAUUCCGCCUCCGUCGAGUCUUCUCCACCUCCUGAUGACGAGGAGCAAGAAGACCUUUAUUAUUCCCAUCAGCACAGCGGUGGACACCACCAGACACCAGAACAGCAAGAAUGUUGCAGGUGGUUGAGAGAGAUGAGUGUUGAGUGUGUCUGUGACUUGUUGAUUCACUUGCCCGCUUUUCUCACUCGAGCCUCCCAUGAUUACACCGUUAUUGUUGAUGAAUCAUGUGCCAUCACUUUUGCAUGUCCUGGCCGAUUAAUUAUACGAUCAUGAUAUCAUUCAUCGUGCCAGCUAAAGCCAUGCAUCAACCUUAAUUUCAUUAUAUACCCAAUUAUUAUCUGUAUGUUCAUUUACUUUAUACACACACACACAUAUAUAUAUAUAUGCUAAUUAAUAAUUCAUCUUCCCACUAUCAUCAGCUUAUUUCUGUGUCCUAAUUAAAUUUUUAGUUGUGUUGUUCAUCCUCUUCUUUGAUUCUAUAGUCACUGCAAUUUUGUCUUUGGUAUUACUUUUUAUGUAUAUUUUGACCCGACUUCAAAUCAUCUUGGAUAUUGAUGUCUAUACAUCAUAAAUAAAAUUGUAUUUACUUUGCUAGACAUAUUAAAUUUGAAGCAACCAUUUCUCCUCUAGCAAAAUAGUCUUCCUCCUCAACUUUGAGACUCGCACUAAGCGAAAAUACCACAUCAUCAUUGUUGCAUGUCAACAACGUGUCAUUUUUCCGAAACAUGUAAGUUGAAUCUUCGUCUUACCCCAAGCCCAAAAGCCCUCACGAAUUGGAGAGGAACAUCGUGUAAAAACCUGAGCCAUCUUGUCAUCAUACUUUUAAAAGAGUUUUGAUUGCCGUAAAUGCUUUCAAUCGUUAGUAACUCAUUCUUAUAAGUCUCAUAACUUUAUGAUUAAUAACUCUGAGAACUUUUGGCAAAGCAUGAUGUUUCUGCAGGUUAUUAUACGAAAUUAUUACAAGCGUACAUUUUCUCUUAAUAAUUCGCUAGUUUUAUGAAAUGUAAAACAUUAUUCUUAUUUUCUCAAUGACUUUGGAGGGAAGUGAUAAAUUGAUUGACUCGAAGUUAGGGAUUAUAUGGAGUUUAUGGUUACAUAACCCAUAGCCAGUCUCCUCCCCUAGGGACUCCUUGCUUACCUCCCGUAGUAAUACGAGGGCUGCCUUCCUCUCUGUCCACCACCAGUAUCCCUAUGAAAGCCUCUUUUUUCUUUCAAAAACUCAUAAACUCAAAUGAAAUUAGAUAAUUCGAGAAAUGAAACUAGCUUAAAGGGGAGGAAGUGCUUCACGGGUGUGGAGCACGACUUCCACUCUCUUUAAACCUUCAGAUAUUGAUAUUAUGCACGAGUUUUCGACUCUUUAGCGAGCACGUCUGGCGUACACAAGUGCUCUCUCCUAAAUCAUCCAAAUUGAAUUUCUUCAACUUCAAAUUCCUCCAAUCUCUACAUUGUUUCACUUACGGGCCCACUCAUAAAUUCUCCUAUUCGACCAUAAAUUCAAAUUUUAAAAAUACUUUUACUUUAAUUACUUUUAAACUUAUAGUAAAAACUACAAUUAUUACUAAACACGCUUUUAUUUACAUUCAAUUAAUAGAAAUUUAAAAUAAAUAUGUUAGCCAUGAAAUUAAACUUUAAAAAUAUAACAAUAUUGAGGUAGAUGGAAUUUGUCAAUAAAAUUACUUACAAUUCCAAUCGAACCCACGAGAGAAUAUUUUCUAAAAGUCGUUAAAAACACAACAAAAGAAGAAUUUAAGAAAAAAAAAUAAAAAAUAAAAAUAAAAAUAAAAAUAAAAGGAAUAAUUGAGGUCACAAUUUGGUUAAUACUAGUCGGUUUCAUGUCGCUCCAUUCUCAUAAUUCCUUAUCUCCAACACUUUUGUCUGCCUUAAGAUGCAUAUAUACAUCCAAAAAAAAAUGUCUAUAUAUAUAUAUAUAUAUACUGGACCACAACAUAUAUACAUAUACACAUACACAUACACACAUGCAUAGAGUUGAAUAUGGUAUUAAAUCAUUUCAUUACAUGCAUCGACCAUGUUCUAAUUAGCUAGCUAGUAGUCAUUGACAUUAUAACAAAACUUAAUUUCAUUGAAAAUAAUGGAUGCAUAUGUACAUAUAUGAUUCAUAUGUGUGUGUGUGUGUGUGUAUAUAUUUUUUAUAAUUCUCCUAUAAAAUUAUGUUCUUGUCAUGUCACGGUACUUAAUAAAGUAAAUAAAAUCAUUAAAAGGGAUGCUUGAACAUUAAAAUUUUGAUAGUUUGAACAUUAAAAUGGAAUGGUAAUUUGAGAAAAGGAAUAAUUCUAAUUCAAUUUAUAUUUUAUUUCUGCAAAACGCGGGCGGGUCCAUUGACAUUCCAUAUUCUUUUGUGUGUAUAUAUGUACAUGUGCGUACACCUAUACAUAUAUAUAUGUGUGUAUGUAUAUGUGCGUAUGGGAUAUAUCAUACUAUAUAUAUAUAUAUAUUGUUGGAAUCGAGUGACUAUGAAAAGACAAUACUUGUUGCAAAUUGUUGUUUGGGCUCUUAUUCUUCUCUCUUUCAUUCCCAUUUACAUCAAAACAAUAUCAGAAAACAUAAAAUAUGAAUUAAAUAAAUAAAUUAUUAAUAUUCAUAUUCUAAAUUUUUUUCCUUCAAAAAUCUUGAGUUUUUUCAAAGUUGACAAAAAAUUUGAUCGUCUUAUUACAAAUUAAAUGUCAUAUUUCAAAAUGAUACUGUAAACAUGAAAUACAUAUAUAUAUAUAUAUAUAUAUAUAUGCGUGUGUGUGUGUGUGUGUGUGUAUGUAUUGGUAUAGAUUCUUUGUUAUGGCAAUGAUAUGGCUGCUUUGAGAAUGAAAAACAGGUGAGGAGCAGAGAAUGGAGGGACACCGUGGAUGGGAGAGUGGACACGUGUUAAGGGUUCUAAAGGGUAAAAGCCACAUAGAUGGGUGACGUUGCUUUUCCGGACACGUGUCUAAUAACGAUUGGUGAGCUUGUAGGGUGACGUGGCGUGGGUCUUUCUCUGCGUGGACGGGUUUCUACUUUCUAUGUUAGUGUAGUUUUGACGGACACGUGUCCAAUAACGAUUAGUGAGAUUAUGGUGACGUGGCAUGGGUGUUUUUCUGCGGGCACGGGUUUCUACUUUUUGUAUGUUAGUGUUGCUUUUCCAACUGUACGGCCACUAUCUUCACCACUCUAUUUUCUAUCCGACGGACAAGAUCAACAUGGAAAAGCAUUAUUAUAUAUAUAUAUAUAUAUAUGUAUAUGUAUCAUACUUAAGUGUGCCCAAGAAAGAAAGAAAAAGAAGAGAAAGA
Molecule: long non-coding RNA, 3554 nt
Filed under: Carica papaya (papaya)
Lineage: Eukaryota; Viridiplantae; Streptophyta; Magnoliopsida; Brassicales; Caricaceae
Description: long non-coding RNA (CPAP_LNC008085)
Source: RNAcentral